UGUAUGCAGUUUUUCUACUGACCAUCUUGAACUUUUAAGGUGAAUUAGAAGUACAUUUUUAAAUAAUUUGGAAACCUUGACAUAAUUUAAAACAGUUCACAGAAACUUGUUUGCCUCCUUCCUUGUUGUUUGUUCUUUCUUUCAUAGGCUCUUACUCCUUUUAGGUGCAGCUGCACUUUGCUGAAGUUGCAAUUUUUUUCUUUAGUGUUGUUGGUUGACCCAAACUAGUUAAAAAGAAUAAUUGGGACUCUGGUAGGAUAAAAAUAGACGAGAAAAAUGCUAUGCAUUAGACACUACUUCCACUUCAGCAUCUUUAACAAUGUAUGCCUAGUCUCCAAGGCCUUUGUUUUAUCUACUUUGUUUUAUCAAUGCAUUCCAUUUCAGUAACGGUGGUAAUACUUCAGUGCAUCCUAAUGGCUUGGGGUUCUUUUGUGUGCAUUAAAAAAAUUAUGGAUGACCCAAAUGCAGACAUCUGGUCCAAGCUGGCAAAAGCAGGAGCAAAUCCCAUGCGUGCAUGCCUACUCAGAAAUAAACUUCACUCAGAAAAGUGUGUGGCAUAAUUUGACAACACUAAUUAACACCAGUUGCAUAAUGGAACUCUGAAGACAUAUGAAAAGCGAAAGGGGUUAAAGAAUGAGUGACAUUCACAGGAGAAUUUUCAUGAGCUACAUAAGACACAACGUCUGCUGUUCCCUGAUGGCCUAUAAAGUGGGUGGGUCUCUCAGCAUUGCAUCAUCUGAUGCUACAUUAAAAAUUAACUCCAGAGGUAAGAUAGUUCUCUUGCACCAAGGAUGGAAAACUUGUGGGCCUCCAGAUGUUGUAGGACUGGAGGUCCUAACAGCUCCAACCAGAAUGAUGCCUUUUCAUCUUGAACUGCUGUUUCAGUGUUGACAUCAGCCUUUCCGUUCUUGCCAAGUACUUGUGGAUUAGAUAUUAGACCAGGACUAAGGGACCAGCUAUUUGUGCAUUUUGUAAUUUUAUAACUAUGUAACUUCGCUACUUAGUUGAUUUUUUUUACACUAUGUUAUUUUAUUGUUGGUUUUUAUUGAUUUUAGUCUAGCCUAGAUUUAUUGUAACCAUCAGGAGUAAUAUUUCUACUGUGCCAGCAAAACUCCAGUAAUCGCAAGUCUCUUUUCCAUGCUGGAGAAACUGGACUUGUUUCAUCUCUCCUUCCAAAACAACAGCUAUAAAUUAAAAGACAAAAGUACUCUAUUCUUCAAAUAAUGCUUUUACAAUAAAAAAUAAUUACACAACAAUCUUUUAUACUUUACCUGCAGAUUUUCACAUGUUUCUUGACUAUAGGUGAUUCUCUGGAUUUCUGUAGGUGAGACAAGGUACAAAGCUUGCCCAUUGUUGGUGAAGCAAAAUGUUCUGGCUAUCCGCAUGUUGGUAAGCGGGGUUUGUCUCCUGCACUGGGCAAUCUUCCUCCUCCCUAGAGGCACCUGCCUGCAUCUCUGUUCCAGCACAGUCCACUCAAAGCUUCUGAUCCCAGAACAUAUCACUGCAUAUUGGUUUUCACUGAUUUCCUGAGAGGAGGAUGGAGACACUGAGACAGGCCGGCGUUUCUUCACCUUAUCCU
Podarcis raffonei (Aeolian wall lizard) is the source of this 1579-nucleotide long non-coding RNA. RefSeq lists it as uncharacterized. The transcript has 6 exons. NCBI's taxonomy places the organism in Eukaryota, Metazoa, Chordata, Lepidosauria, Squamata, Lacertidae. The record is from RefSeq and is a predicted model, not a curated record.